CAGUCGAACGAUGACGGUGGUGCUUGCACCACCUGAUUAGUGGCGAACGGGUGAGUAACACGUGAGUAACCUGCCCCCCACUUCGGGAUAACCUCGGGAAAUCGUGGCUAAUACCGGAUACGAGCACUCAUCGCAUGGUGGGUGCUGGAAAGAUUUAUCGGUGGGGGAUGGACUCGCGGCCUAUCAGUUUGUUGGUGAGGUGAUGGCUCACCAAGACGAUGACGGGUAGCCGGCCUGAGAGGGCGACCGGCCACACUGGGACUGAGACACGGCCCAGACUCCUACGGGAGGCAGCAGUGGGGAAUAUUGCACAAUGGGCGAAAGCCUGAUGCAGCGACGCCGCGUGGGGGAUGACGGCCUUCGGGUUGUAAACCCCUUUCAGUAGGGAAGAAGCGAGAGUGACGGUACCUGCAGAAGAAGCGCCGGCUAACUACGUGCCAGC
This 442-nucleotide ribosomal RNA is filed under the name bacterium BCM50. Its description in RNAcentral is "bacterial SSU rRNA". It matches the Rfam family "Bacterial small subunit ribosomal RNA", at positions 59 to 512 of the family's 1533-position model. The record is from RNAcentral.